AAUUAAGCCAUGCAUGUCUAAGCACAAAGUCCUAGUAUGAUGAAGCUGCGAACGGCUCAUUACAACAGUUAUAAUCUUUUUGAUGAAGUACGUACAAGGAUAUCUUUGAGAAUGUCAAAGCUAAUACUUGACGGUUUUCACCCCUUGUCGAGUCCAUUCCCUCUGGGAGUGUAAUCGAUGAGGGCGGGGGAUGCUUCACGUAUCCUCUACAUAUUACCACUUUUUUUUGAAUGAGGGUGGAAUAUAUGCCAAGAGAAUUGUAGAAAUCGAGAGAUUUUCACAAGUCAUCAUUAAGAAUAUCUGACCUAUCAACUGGUUGUUGGUAAGGUAGUGGCUUACCAAGGUGAUAACGGGUAACGAGGAAUAAGGGUUCGACAUCGGAGAGGGAGCUUUAGAGAUGGCUACCACUUCUAAGGAAGGCAGCAGGCGCGAAAAUUACCCAAUCUUAACAAAUGAAGGAGGUAGUGACGACAAUUAACGCUAUCCUCGUCUUUUGGCGAGGAUCGUCGGAAUGAUUUCGAUUUAAAAUAUCGAAAGAAAGCAAUUGGAGGGCAAGUCUGGUGCCAGCAGCCGCGGUAAUUCCAGCUCCAAUAGUGUAUUGUAAAGUUGUUGUGAUUAAAACGCUCGUAGUUGAAUGAAAACAAUCGGGACAUGAUUUACGAUCUCUCCUCCAUACGGUGGAUUCGUCCAUUAGGUUGAGUUGAUCAAAAAUCAAACAAUGUCCUACUAUAAGCGAGAGGGUGGAAUUAAUUCCAAACUCUUUUACUUUGAUUAAAUCAAGGUGCUUAAAGCAAAAUCUUCUGUUAACGAAUGAUGAAGCAUGGUAUAGAAUUAAAACAGAACAGAAAGAAUAACGAAUAAAUGGAGAUGGGCAACCAUUCGAAAUUUAUUUAUUUUUGUUUUGUUUAAAACAAGGUUAAGAGAAAUGAUUAGGGUGAUUUAGAUAGGAACGGGAGAGGUGGAAUUCCAUGAUCGUUUCGAGAUAAACGAGAGCGAAAGCAUUUCACUGAAUUCAUUUCAUUAAUCAAGAACGAAAGUCAGGGAAUCAAAGACGAUUAGAUACCGUCGUAGUCCUGACCAUAAACGAUGUCAACUAAGGAUUGGAUAAGAAACAUCGAAGUAUGAGCCUUUUUCUCCAACUUGUUGGAAAAAAAGCGUUUCGCUUCAUUUCUUCCCUUAUUCAGGACUUGAUGAGAAAUCAUUAAGUGAAUGGACUUCAGGGGGAGUAUGGUCACAAGGCUGAAACUUAAAGGAAUUGACGGAAGGGCACACCAGGAGUGGAGCCUGCGGCUUAAUUUGACUCAACACGGGAAAACUUACCAAGACCAAACGGUGUAAGGAAUGACAGAUUACUGGGUCUUUCAUGAUUCAUCGGGGAGU
Molecule: ribosomal RNA, 1380 nt
Filed under: Entamoeba coli
Lineage: Eukaryota; Evosea; Mastigamoebida; Endamoebidae
Description: bacterial SSU rRNA
Rfam family: Eukaryotic small subunit ribosomal RNA
Source: RNAcentral